Manis pentadactyla (Chinese pangolin) is the source of this 953-nucleotide RNA transcript. RefSeq lists it as uncharacterized. The record is from RefSeq and is a predicted model, not a curated record. The transcript is spliced from 2 exons. NCBI's taxonomy places the organism in Eukaryota, Metazoa, Chordata, Mammalia, Pholidota, Manidae.
CUACAUGUGACGGGGUAAUUUCUACCGUAAGGAACACAUCUCUUCCUGCUAAGCACGCUCAUUUUAGUGAAAUGUCUGGGGUCACUCCGUGCGCGCAAGUUAGGACGAUGCCGGCGUCGCGGCGCGGCUGCUACCGCCGCUGCUGUCGCUACGGCUCCGGGCCCGGGCGGGUCACGUUAGAUCAGAAACUCUGGCACAGCAGCCCAGGCCGGGCGGCGGGCACGGAGCGGCCGCGCGCGCGGCACUGCAGCCACUGCCUCUUCCGGAUCAGCAUCUCCCCGCGCCCCGGGCGCCCAAUGUCAUGGAGGCGCGGCGGAGCCGGGCUGCGCGCCGCUGCUCGGACCUCGGACUGCUGGGCCGCGCCGCGGCGGUUCCUCGGGCUGCGGAGGCUGGCGGCGGGUGCUGGAGCGGAGCCGAGGGAGAGGCCGCCGCUGCUGCGCGCCCGGCGCGCUCCGGAGGCGCGGCCGCGAAGACGCCUAGCGCUGCAGUCCCGGGGACCGCUCGCGACCUCCUUUUUUCAUUCACAAAAAACGAAAGAGGAAAAAAAAGAAGAAGGGGAGGAAAAGCAGGGGGAAAAAAUCGCAGCCGGGACUGGUACCGUGACAGGCACCGCCCACCGCGGCGCCCCGUUGGUGGAAAGGGGUCGGGGGGAGGAGCGGGGGCGGGGAAAGAAGGAGAUUGGACGCCUCCGCGGCCCCGCCCCGCGGCGGGGUUUGCUCCUUUCCGCGUGACCUCCGCCACCUGCGGGGAAGCUGCAGGGAGGGUCUCGGCUGCCCUGGUGCCGGUUCACAUCCCUCUGCCUGCAGUCUCCACUUCCGUCCCACCCCCAUCCAUUGCCACUGGAUUUCACCAGUAUCUUCUGACCUCUGGAAGAAAUGCCAUGAAGACACGAGGCCUGGAGCUUUGGACUCUGUCUCCAUUUACUCCUCUGUGAAAUAGACACGUUAUACUUA